GCAAAUCCGCAGACGAAUCUCCGAGGCAAAGGAUCGAGUCCCAUUGGGGACGAAGUGAUUGGAUGGACUUCCAGGAAAAGCCUCUAAGCUCCAGCUCAACGGGACCGUACCGCAAACCGACACUGGUGGGCGAGCUGAAUAUGCUCAGGCGCUUGAGAGAACUCAGGAGAAGGAACUCGGCAAAUUGACACCGUAACUUCGGGAUAAGGUGUGCCUUGGUAGCGUGGAGGGAGAAACACCCCGAGCGUGAAGAGGUCUCAGAGAAUCGGUGGCUGCGACUGUUUACUAAAAACACAGCACUCUGCAAAGACGAAAGUCGACGUAUAGGGUGUGAUGCCUGCCCGGUGCUGGAAGAUUAAUUGAUGGGGUGCAAGCUCCUGAUCGAAGUCCCAGUAAACGGCGGCCGUAACUAUAGCGAAAUUCCUUGUCGGGCAAGUUCCGACCUGCACGAAUGGCAUAACGAUGGCCACACUGUCUCCUCCUGAGACUCAGUGAAGUUGAAGUGUUUGUGAUGAUGCAAUCUCCCCGCGGCUAGACGGAAAGACCCCAUGAACCUUUACUGCAGCUUUGCAUUGGACUUUGAACCGAUCUGUGUAGGAUAGGUGGGAGGCUGUGAAACCGGGACGCCAGUCUCGGCGGAGCCGUCCUUGAAAUACCACCCUGAUUUGUUUGAGGUUCUAACCUAGGCCAGUCAUCCUGGUCGGGGACCGUGCAUGGUGGGCAGUUUGACUGGGGCGGUCUCCUCCUAAAGGGUAACGGAGGAGUGCGAAGGUACGCUAGGUACGGUCGGAAAUCGUGCUGAUAGUGCAAUGGCAAAAGCGUGCUUGACUGCGAGACCCACAAGUCGAGCAGAUACGAAAGUAGGUCAUAGUGAUCCGGUGGUUCUGAAUGGAAGGGCCAUCGCUCAACGGAUAAAAGGUACUCCGGGGAUAACAGGCUGAUACCGCCCAAGAGUUCAUAUCGACGGCGGUGUUUGGCACCUCGAUGUCGGCUCAUCACAUCCUGGGGCUGAAGUAGGUCCCAAGGGUAUGGCUGUUCGCC
RNAcentral lists this ribosomal RNA (1041 nucleotides) under human gut metagenome. RNAcentral describes it as "bacterial LSU rRNA". It matches the Rfam family "Bacterial large subunit ribosomal RNA", at positions 1536 to 2585 of the family's 2925-position model. The record is from RNAcentral.